Molecule: ribosomal RNA, 588 nt
Filed under: uncultured marine eukaryote
Lineage: Eukaryota
Description: SSU rRNA
Rfam family: Eukaryotic small subunit ribosomal RNA
Source: RNAcentral
AACCUGGUUGAUCCUGCCAGUAGUCAUAUGCUUGUCUCAAAGAUUUAACCAUGCAUGUCUAAGUAUAAGUUUUUUACUGCGAAACUGUGAAUGGCUCAUUAUAACAGUUAUUAUUUACUACACGGUCAGUGAUUCAUUGGAUACCCAUGGUAAUUCUAGAGCUAAUACAUGCUUACAAACCCAACUUCUCGGAAGGGUUGCGCUUAUUAGAUACCGAACCAGCCUAGGCUCUGCCUAGAAUUUGUUGAUUCAUAGUGUUCUGGCGAAUCGCCUCUCGUAGGCGAUGAGUGUAUCAAGUUUCUGACCUAUCAGCUGGACGGUAGGGUAUUGGCCUACCGUGGCUUUGACGGGUAACGGAGAAUUAGGGUUCGAUUCCGGAGAGGGAGCCUGAGAAACGGCUACCACAUCUAAGGAAGGCAGCAGGUGCGUAAAUUACCCAAUCCUGACACAGGGAGGUAGUGACAAGAAAUAUCAAUAUAAGACGUUUGUGUCUUGUAAUUGGGAUGAGCGAAACAUAAACCGCUUCUCGAGUAUCAAUUGGAGGGCAAGUCUGGUGCCAGCAGCCGCGGUAAUUCCAGCUCCAAUAGC